Molecule: long non-coding RNA, 9082 nt
Organism: Pongo pygmaeus (Bornean orangutan)
Lineage: Eukaryota; Metazoa; Chordata; Mammalia; Primates; Hominidae
Exons: 12
Source: RefSeq, a predicted model, not a curated record
CAGGCUGGUCUUGAAUUCCUGACCUCAUGAUCCACCCGUCUCGGCCUCCCAAAGUGCUGGGAUUACAGGUGUGAGCCACCACGCUCGGCCUGUAGCUUGUGUUAUUAACGGACAAGCAAACGCCCGUGCCCGUACACGUUCCUGUUACAGUAUGUUACAAAAGUGCUUCUGAGCUACUACUCCUGGAGGCUCGGUUGGAGUGCCCGCGGGCGUGGGCGCGGUGGAAAAGAGGGAGAACCUGUAGGCCCAGCCCUCCGUAAACGUGGCUACGAGGGGCGGGGACUUUGAGCGCGGGUCCUGGGCCGGGGUGCGGGCUGGGAGGACUCGGUCCUCCACUGUCCCAGCCGGCUACGCGCCCGCGUGUCGCCUCCCGUCCCGCUAGCAGCACGCUGCGUGGCUGCUCGUUGGCUGCUUAAGACGGAAGCUCGGUUGAUGUUUCUGCAGAAGUUUCCCCCUUGGGCGGUGGCGGAGCUGCUGAGCGCGAUAGUAGCAGCUCCGGCGGCAGCAACAUGGACUAAGAGGGAUGGCGGCGGCUGCCGCAGGACCUGCAGCAUCCCAGAGGUGCAGAUUUUAAUUUCAGUGACUGAAUUAAAAGGUGUCAAGAAGCUCAGAAUGGAAGAACUGGAACUGUGGUUUGUGCCUGCCUUAUUGCAUCUGAAAUAUUUUUAACUGCAGAGAAGCCGUGGGUCACGGAAGAGAACCAUGGAACCCAGCGACUAGUGUUCAGUUCCAUUAGGACGAAUCGGGCACUUAGCUGCGCAGGAACAAUGGCGAGCCUCUAGCCUGAUCGGGAGUGGCAAUGGGCGCCUCGAUGGAUCAGAAGUGCAGAGGACAUCCUGCCAGAUCCAGAGGGGUGGAAGUCAGCAGUGGAUCUGUGACAGCAAUGAUCUGCAGUGGUGGACGGAAAGCCUGUAUUAUUUUGGAGAAAGGUGAACAGAUAAAACCAACAGCACUAAAUUUCAGGGACUAGAAACUCCUUCUGUGGUAAGUUUUCUUUUUUAAAAGGGGAGUUUUUUUAGGGGAGUGGGUUAAGAUUGCCACCUGUUAUUUGGUUUCAUUUUAGACUCUUCUCCUUUGGUGAUCAGGCAGCAGCAUUUGGGCACCCUGCGACAGGCCUUGGUCCCUCCCUGAGGCUGAGGGUCAUGCUUCUGGUGCGACCCACAGGCUGGGGGCUCUGGCUUCCCCUCAGAGCAUCCUGCAUUCUAUUCUAUACUGGUUAUCGUUUACAGAGCUCAGGAGUUGAUUAUUUUCCCAAAGUAGGAAGGUCCAAUACCUAAGGCUCCAGGACCCUGAAGUUUAUCUAAAAUCACCAGCCUUUGAUUUCAAUAUAAAAAAGAUCCAAGUCUUUCACAAACCCUUACUAGAGCAAUUCAACCCUUGCAGAAUACCACAAAGACUGUUUUUGGGCGACUCCUGUGUGUGUGUGUUUUCUGUGUGUUGUUGGGGAGGUGUAUUUUAAAAGAGAAAGUAAAGGGGAAAUAAACUUUUCAAAAGCUCUUUAUAUACCAGACAGUAUUGCACUUUUAAAUAUCUCAUUUAAUACCCAUAACACCUAUAUGGAAUAUACACUGUUACUCUAUUUUUUUCUUUUAAAAACAUUUGUUGGCUGGGCACGGUGGCUCACGCCUGUAAUCCCCAACACUUUGGGAGGCUGAGGUGGACAAAUCACAAGGUCAGGAGUUUGAGUCCGGCCUGGCCAACAUGGUGAAACCCCAUCUCUACUAAAAAUACAAAAAAUUAGCUGGGCAUAGUGGCAGGUGCCUGUAAUCCCAGCUACUCAAGAGGCUGAGGCAGGAGAAUCAUUUGAACCCGGGAGGCAGAGGUUGCAGUGAGCUAAGAUAGCGCCACUGCACUCCAACCCAGGCAACAGAGUGAGACUCCAUCUGGAAAAAAAAAAAAAAAGAAAAACAUUUGUUAUGAAAAAGUUUAAUCCUACACAAAAGUCCAGAGAAUCAUACAAUAUAUCCCCAUAUAGUCAUCACAUUGCUGCAACAGUCAUUUCAGCCUGCAACCAGCCACAUUUCAUCCAUUCUUUUCUCACUCUACUCACACCCCUAACCCCACUCUCCACUCUUGCUUUCCCUAAACCUGGGUUAUUUUAAAGGAAAUUUCAGUCUUCAGAUCAUUUUAUCCCACAGGUAUUUUAGUAUGACAUUUAAGGACUCUUAACAACAAAAAACCUGAAUACUCUUUAUCAUAUCUAAAAAUAUUACACCUUAAAAAUCCUUAAUAUCAAAUUUGUAGCCCAUGUUUGUUUCCAAAAUUGUCUUAAAAUCUUUAAAAAUUUAGUUUAUUUCAGUCAGAAUUCAAACAAGGUCCACACAUCUCAUUGGUUGCUGUGUCUCCUAAGUCUCUGUUAAGAAUCUAACUUCAUGGAUUUCUCACUGUUUUUUAUUACUUGUAAUUUGUUUACUGCAGAAACCAGGAUGUUUAUCCUAUAGCAUUUACAACAUUCUAGACUUUGCCGAGCUAUUCUAAGAGUUAUAUAUUCACUAUCUCAUUUAAUAUUCUCAGUAACUCUAUGAGUAGGCACUACUAUGAUUCUCAUCUUCUAAAUUAGAAAACCGAGGUUCGGAGAAAGUAACUUUUGAACCAAGGACUGAAAUCUAGAUGUCAGACUCUGAAGCCAUUGCUGUGCACAGCUUCUCAUUUAUAUUGCCUUUUCUAUAUUGCUCCUAAAACUGAAGUGAGAGUGGAUUGGGAAUUCUUAAAUAGAUUUGGAUGUGGCUGUGAGUUUUUCUUUAAGUGGUGGGAGCUGAGUAAGUACUCUUGGCCCCGUUAGAAGAACACUAUAACUACUGGCCCUAAACCCUUAGUUUGGGCCAAAAGAACUCAGCCUUAUCCACUGAUACUUUUCUCCCACACCCCAGCCAAAAACAAAACAAAACAAAGAUAGUCAUAGACCCUAAGCUAAAAGUAAUAGGUGAAUUUACUGAAGUGCAGCCCUCAUCAUUCUACUUCCAUGCUCAAAAUCCAUACUAUGUCCCCACUGCCAAUGGCAAUAAACUAAACGUUUCAACCUGGCACUCAAGAGCCACAGUUUGACUUUUCCAACAUUUUCUUCCACCAUGUGCAUACACACAUCCCACACUCUAACACAUUUAGGCUGUGUGCUGUUUCCCAGCCUGUAGACACUUGAUUCCCAAAUGCCAUUGCUCAUGCCCCUUUUCCUGGAGUCUCUUUCCCUUCUCAGCCUCAAGUAGUCUCUUGCUUUUUCAAUUCUUUAGCCCUUUGUGUUUCUCUUAGGGACUACGUUACUUUUCAUUAUUCUCUAGCUAUUUGAAGUGGUGACUUCUGUAUCCCCUUUAAAGGCAAAGCCCAUGGCUUACCCAUCUUUCCAUCUUUUUCUCAUAAUAUCUUCCUUGUUUGUAGCAAGUGGCUUCUAUGUGUUGAUUGUAUUAAUUUCUACUACUAGUCCAUGUUGUUUUAAGUUGUAGGAGAAGGAAGCAUGGGAGCACAAGCAGCUUGAGGGCCCUGGUAGGUUACAGCCUUUAGGGGAAGGUGGAGAAUCUGGUGGCAGGAGCUAAGGGGAUGCUAGAUGGAGCUCCUUCAACAACUCUCCCCACACAUCUCCCCAUCCCCAUUUCUCCUGCAGUCAUGCGUAGUUUCCUGAACUUUAGUCCAGAACUAGUACACCAAAGGCUGCAACUGAAUCUCUUCUGAAUCACUAAGAAAGCAACACAGAGACUCAGCUGCAUGUUUGAGAGCUGUGUUGGCAAGACCUCAGGACAGAGUGCCCUCUGUGUCUGCUGGUGAUUCUCAGACACCACCACAUUCUGAUCCUGCACUGGGGGCCAUUCUACUGACUACAUCUACUCUUAAAUUAAGAACUUUCAUGAGACUUCCUCAUGACUGGCCCUUUCUAAAGUAAAGUAUGGCAGUUAGUUACUUGAAUGAACAUUUCCCAAUGGGUAAGGAACAGUCUGUGAACUUAUGAGUUCUUUUUUUUUUUGAGACAGUCUUGCUCUGUCGCCCAGACUGGAGUGCAGUGGUGCAAUCUCGGCUCACUGCAACCUUGACCUCUUGGGUUCAAGCGAUUUUCCUGCCUCAGCCUCCCAAGUGGUUGGGAUUACAGGUGCCCAUCACCACGCGCAGCUAAUUUUUGUAUUUUUAGUGUAGGUAGGGUUUCACCCUGUUGGCCAGGCUGGUCUCAAACUCCUAACCUCAAGUGAUCCACCCACCUCGGCCUCCCAAAGUGUUGAAAUUACAGGUGUGAGCCACAGCACCCAGCCAACUUUUGAAUUGUGAACCAGUUGAUUCAGUACCAGAGCUCUUCAACACCUUGAAGAAAGAUUCAAGGAGAACAGUUGUGAACAGCUUGCCCCAGGGAAAGGACAAGGCUAAGAGAAUUCCAAGGCUUGCUUGUGAAAACAGAAUUGGGGAAAUGGAAAUUGAAGAAAUUGUAGCUGUCAGGAACAAGAGAAGAAUGACAUGAAAUCUGCUACUGAGAUAUGGAGAAUAGAUAUGUUGGAUAUUUUGCACAAGUGAAACAUAUCUACAACUGGAAUCUCCCUCCAAGAAGGAUACUCUUUAUAAGAAGAUUCAUUAUUUAUUCGAUUCAUGGUGUUGGAGCAGGCGAUGGAUAUGAUCUAAAAGUCAAAAUAGUAAUGGAGAAAAAGGUUGUCUUUUCCUGUACUUACUUAAGAAAUUGUUAGGUAUUUCAUGACACUGAAACAGAGCAAUAAUUGAUGUAUUCAACAGUCCACCUCUGUAUGAUGAUGUGAAAGUGCAAUUUUUCUCUUUGCAUUUCGGGAGGCCGAGGCAGGUGGAUCACAUGAGGUCUGGGGUUCAAGACCAGCCUGACCAACAUGGAGAAACCCCGUCUCUAUUAAAGACAUGGAAAGAACUUGAAUUCUGGAUUUGAUACAAUCCACUGGGUAUACCGCAAGCCAGAGGCAAAUCCCACCAACUCCACCACUUAACAUCAAAGAUCCAGAAAAAUUAAAAAACUUUAUUCCAGUAAGAAAGUUUGGGAUGUACUGCUUCAGGCCCCGUCCUAAGGAAAUUAUCAGGCCUGGAGGGUGGACGCUAUCAACUGCCUGCCACCAUGUUACCUUCAGGCAUCCAGAAGCUUCCCUGUGCCAGAUGGAGCCACCAAUGUGGGAAGGAGAGCACAAAGGGCAGAGAAUCCACAGAAACCAUACCUGCAGGGAGCAAACACCAUCACACCCCACUGCUGUCAAUGCAAACACAUUUACCUAAUUCAUCUUUUGAUCUCCCUGAUGCAAAAAAGGACCGGCUCAGUUCAUAGCCACCGAAGAAGAAGAAAUAGCCUGGUACUUCUCGAAGUAAAGUGCUUGAGAGUCCAUGGUAGAACCCCAAGGGGCCAUCUUUCCUAAGAAUACUUUUGAUGACAGACCACACUGUACUGGGAGGAGACACAGAGAGAUAGCACGGUUAUGGCAGGGGGGAAGGAAGAAAAGACAAGGGCAUUUGCAACCAAUUAACAGAUCUGAUCAGGCACUAAUAAGGAAGAAGCUGAUUUUGUAAAUGAAGAGCCAGGAAUUGAGACUAAAAGGCAUCCUUCUGUGGGAAGGAAAUUUAUUUAUAGUAAGGAAUUAUCUAAACUCAGCAAGCAUAAAAUGGCAUUGUAUUGCCCAGUCCCUUAUCGCCGUGAUUCCUAUUUCCUCAAUCUUUCUGGUGUGUUUUUGGAAAAUUUAUUCAGGUGUUUAUAGGAUCUGUUUUGUUUCAGUGCAGAGAAAUGAGUGAAGGAGUAAAUGUUGUUUGAAGGCAAGACAAAUUCUGAGAACAAGUUAUAGCUCCUGUUAUGCAGAAGCACCAAGAAUUUAUUUCUCAGAGCACCAGGGAUGCAGGAGAAUUUCUUCUAAGCGGCCCUGCUCCUGUAGCAGCCAGAACACAGGACACUCUUUGUCUGACUCCCCUUCAUGAUGGGGGGCUACCAGGGCAGAUUUAUCCCUGCUAAGAACAGGCCAAGAAAUCACAUACUCAGUGCAACUUAGUGAAUCCCUCUCUCCUCACUUUGUUCUCAGCAAGAAGGAGACUUGGCUUGGACAGAUGAAGGAUCAAGUCCCAAGGUAAUAAAGGCCACAGACGUUUAAAAACUAUUUUCCUUCUGAGAGCUUCAGAAGACACUGUCAGGUAUUCCUCAUCAGCCAGCCCUUCCUGCAGCACUGCUACAUGGAAUGUAACAAAGUAAUCCAGCUCAACACAAUUAACCUCCCUUCCAAUCCGAGUCUUAGCCCCAAGCUACCAUACCAUGUCUUGUGUGAACACUGCUAGACCUCAAAUACAAAGUCAACUGAUAAUUCAAGGUGUAGAUCUGCCUAAGUCCUUUGGAUAUAACUAUUACUAUCUUUUAAUUACCUUGAAUUAGUUCCAAGGGACAUGAGGGCAGCUUUCUGGGUGUUGUUAAUGUUCUACUUGUUAAUCUGGACACAGGUUACAAGGGCACAUAAAUUGUGUCACUAUUUAUAGAACUGCAUACUGUGACUUAAAUGUGCAUUCAUGAUACUAUGUGUAUAUUUCAAUAAAAAGUUUUAAAGACUUACACUCUUGGACUUCUAGGCAAUGAAUAUUAGAUUCAAGUUGGUUGUAAUGAAUCUCAAGGGUGCAGAAAACAGGGCACUUUUCCAAACCCCAUUCUGAGUGGGGACUGAUCCCUGAAAAUGGUCAAUUUAUCUACUGCUUUUUCCCAGCAGAUUUAUAGGCUUUGAGUUAACCACAGCAAUAUCCUUGGUCAGAACUCGGCCAGAUGUCAAGAUAAGCAAGUUUUGCAAUUAAUAAGGACAAUAAAUUGCUUUCCAAUUCAAGUAAAUCAAAUUGUGUAUGACACAGCACUCUCAAAGGAUAAUGAGAAUGUGUUUUCAAGAGUGAGCUAGAGAGUGAUUUAAUCAUUGAAGAGUAGCUAUGCUUAGAAAAGUAUUGAUUAAUAUUCUCAGAACUUGGGCCAUUUGCAGGUACACUUGAAGGACUGGAGAUAAGUGGGGUAAGAAUAGUUACCUCUAGGAUCUGGGUCAAUCAGCCUGAACACCCAUAUGAAACCUGGAAGUGGGCAUCAAAUAUUCAUUUCAGAAUCCAAAUUGGCACUUAUGAAGGCUCAGGUGUAAGGCAAAGUUCAAAAGCCACCCACUAUGUACGUCCAAAAAUGGUUGAAGAUCAUGCCUUAUGUUUCCAAGAGGCCAAAAAGGGUGUUAAGCUCCUGGCUUCUCCAGUUCUGGGGUAUUAAAUAUCUGUCUAAGACUUUCUAUGCAGUGGGUGGUGGGUCCCAUCACAGCCAAUCCUUUCAGAAAAUCUCUGAUAGGGGAAAGCAUUCUAGAAACAAUAUUUUGGAGUAGAUAAAUCGGCUUCCACAUCUGCCACUUUAGUACAAUAUAAAAUGAAAAAUCAUCCAAUACACUAGGGCAAUAGAGAACUGACAUUUGUGCCCAAGUGGUGCUUACUUCUGGCUUUUGGCUAUCUUCCCUGAUGUCUCCAUCUCAUACAUGGUCUGCAGUCGGCACUUCACGAGCUCCGUGGGGCAGAGCACCAGUGCAGCAAAGGCAGAGGCGAAGGAACCGGCAGCUGCAUUCUGCAGAUCACUGAAAGUACACAAGCAGACAGUUACCCCUCAGUUUCUUCAUUCCUUCGGCACUCACAACAUAGAUGGCACUUUGGUGAUAAAGCAGGGCUAAGGAAGCAAGAAAGUGGAGGGGCGGGCAGAGCCAGAUCCAGUGGUUUCACUCAUGCAAGACAGAAGUCACUGUCUAUCCUGCGGCUGGAGGGGCUGCUUUGCUCAGAAGACACAGGUCUUCCCCAGAAUCUCACGUGGCUGCUUACUGUUUCCCUGUCUUCUCUCCCCAUUUUGUCCUUUGCUAAGGAAACUGAAGUCCAGGUCUUCUCCAAUAGAGUGUCUCUCCUUCAACAGGGAACAAAACUACAGUUGCCUGUAGUUUUUGCUUCUGUUCAGUCUCCAUCAUGGCACGCCAUACUCUCCUGGUUUGUGCCCUGCUUGUUUCUUUACUGCCUUCCUGCCUGCCCUUUCUGUGCGGGAGGCUCAUCCCAUUCAUGCUCAGCCCUCCUCGCUGUCUACCCUGUCUUCUUCGGCAAUCGUAUCCAGUCCCAAGCCUUUAUAAAAAACAAGCUCUACCUAUCAUGGUGGAAUUCCUGUCUAUAAAAGGGCACACCUUCAGACCUCCAGGCACCUCCAGAGAACACUGCUGUGCACAAGGAACCGAAUUCAGUUGUGUGGGACCUGCAGCUGCAAUCGGGUUUCAAACUCCUACUGAAAUAACUAAGACUGCCCUUUGCAAUCUUGCUUACAUAAUAAUUUUAAGUGGUAUAAAAUAAAUCAAUGUUCAAAGCAGGGACAGCUAAACAUCCCAGUGGUUUCCAAAUUCUGUUUAGUCUCUAUAUAGUACAUAUCCAAGGCAAGACCAACAACGAGGCAAAGUCUGAUGUUUUGGGAAGAUUUGGACAGACAAAGGUGGGUUCCCUUGCAUCUUCGCAGACAUUUCCGACCCUUCCUAAAACUCCUCAAAUUCAUCUGGCUCAGACAACCUCUUCCAAUACUCUGCUUUUUGCUAAUGAAAGAAAAGCUAAAUCUUGGAUCAUAAGCAGCAUCUACAGUUUCAGUGCAGCAUGUCUGCUGACGAGAGGUAGCACCGCCAGCUGCAUUUGAACAACAUUCUCCUGGAGAAAACUGAAACAGAAGGGCGGUUCAUUCUCAGUGGUGGAUGACGAGCAGGUCUCCUCUGUGGUGUGCAUAUGUGGUUUCCAAGUUUUAUAUGAUGACAAUGUAUAACUUCAUAAAUAAAAGGAAAGCAGUUAUUUUUAAAAAAGGAAAUGUUCUUCCACAUAAGGCACCAGUAAAAUUGUGACCAUACAACAGUAGAUUUUUUUUUAAUUUUUAUUUUUUGUAGAGAUGAGGAUCUUGCUAUGUUGCCCAGGCUGGUUUUGAACUCUCAGCCUCAAGCCAUUUUCCUGCCUUUGCCUCCCAAAGUGCUGGGAUUACAGGCAUGAGCCACCAUGCCUUGCCAGUUUUGUGGGGUUUUUUUAAACAAAUUAAAAAAGUGUGUGUCCUUGACUCACCUCAGCUUUGCCUGCUUGUCCAAUCCAGCCACUUUCCGCACCACCUGCUGGCAGA